UAUUACUUUGGCUAGACCGGCGCACGGGUGCGUAACACGUAUGCAACCUACCUUAUACUGGGGAAUAACUUCGAGAAAUCGGCGCUAAUACCCCAUAACAUUGCGAAGAGGCAUCUCUUUGCACUUAAAGCUCCGGCGGUAUAAGAUGGGCAUGCGUCCAAUUAGCUAGUUGGUGAGGUAAUGGCUCACCAAGGCUACGAUUGGUAGGGGUUCUGAGAGGAUGAUCCCCCACACUGGUACUGAGACACGGACCAGACUCCUACGGGAGGCAGCAGUGAGGAAUAUUGCGCAAUGGACGAAAGUCUGACGCAGCCAUGCCGCGUGCAGGAUGACGGCCCUAUGGGUUGUAAACUGCUUUUGUAUGGGAAUAAACCCUUCUACGUGUAGAAGGCUGAAGGUACCAUAAGAAUAAGCACCGGCUAACUCCGUGCCAGCAGCCGCGGUAAUACGGAGGGUGCAAGCGUUAUCCGGAUUUAUUGGGUUUAAAGGGUCCGUAGGCGGGCCG
RNAcentral lists this ribosomal RNA (505 nucleotides) under uncultured Bacteroidota bacterium. Its description in RNAcentral is "bacterial SSU rRNA". It matches the Rfam family "Bacterial small subunit ribosomal RNA", at positions 79 to 582 of the family's 1533-position model. The record is from RNAcentral. Lineage: Bacteria; Pseudomonadati; Bacteroidota.